CAUAGCGACUAUCGUGGCAUAUCAAUAAGCGGAGGAAAAGAAACUAACAUAGGAUUCCCUCAGUAACGGCGAGUGAAGCGGGAAGAGCUCAAAUUUGAAAUCUUCAAGGUUUUACCUUGACGAAUUGUAGUUUAAAGAAGUGUUUUCUGUUGAAUGUUUUCGGUAAAAGUUCUUUGGAAUAGGACAUCAUAGAGGGUGAGAAUCCCGUAUUUGACCAGUUACUUUCCAGCUGUUGUGAUACACUUUCAAAGAGUCGGAUUGUUUGGGAAUGCAGUCCAAAAUGGGUGGUAAAUUUCAUCUAAAGCUAAAUAUUGGCGAGAGACCGAUAGCGAACAAGUACCGUGAGGGAAAGAUGAAAAGAACUUUGAAAAGAGAGUUAAACAGUACGUGAAAUUGUCAAAAGGGAAGCGUUUGACACCAGUGUUGUUUUCUCGAAAAUCAAUUAAAAUAAAUGUGGAUUUUGUGUUGUAUUGACCUUAAAAGCUUUCUUCACUCUUUUCAUUGUCUAUUUUUAAUGCACUUUUCGUUUAACAAGUCAGCAUCAAUUUCUUUUGUUGUAAAAGAGGUCAUUGGAAGGUGGCUUUCUUUUCGGAGAAAGUGUUUAUAGCCUUUGAUCUCUGCAACCGGAGAGACUGAGGUCUGCAGCGUAGACUCUUCGGGGUUAGAUACAUUUGUGCUAAGCUAUAGCUUUGUAUAGACAACUUGUUGACUAUGAUUAGUCAUUGUAGCUUACUCGCUUAUGCUAUUUUACCUACGCUUAGGAUGUUGAUAUGCAUGACUGAUAU
Molecule: ribosomal RNA, 785 nt
Filed under: uncultured Neocallimastigales
Lineage: Eukaryota; Fungi; Neocallimastigomycota; Neocallimastigomycetes; Neocallimastigales
Description: partial large subunit ribosomal RNA
Rfam family: Eukaryotic large subunit ribosomal RNA
Source: RNAcentral